This 253-nucleotide ribosomal RNA is filed under the name uncultured bacterium. RNAcentral's name for it is "partial 16S ribosomal RNA". It matches the Rfam family "Bacterial small subunit ribosomal RNA", at positions 524 to 776 of the family's 1533-position model. The record is from RNAcentral.
UACGUAGGGUGCGAGCGUUAAUCGGAAUUAUUGGGCGUAAAGAGCUCGUAGGCGGCUUGUCACGUCGGGUGUGAAAGCCCGGGGCUUAACCCCGGGUCUGCAUUCGAUACGGGCUGGCUGGAGUGUGGUAGGGGAGAUCGGAAUUCCUGGUGUAGCGGUGAAAUGCGCAGAUAUCAGGAGGAACACCGGUGGCGAAGGCGGAUCUCUGGGCCAUUACUGACGCUGAGGAGCGAAAGCGUGGGGAGCGAACAGG